This 508-nucleotide ribosomal RNA is filed under the name uncultured bacterium. RNAcentral describes it as "partial 16S ribosomal RNA". It matches the Rfam family "Bacterial small subunit ribosomal RNA", at positions 28 to 507 of the family's 1533-position model. The record is from RNAcentral.
GACGAACGCUGGCGGCGUGCCUAAUACAUGCAAGUCGAACGCUUCUUUCCUCCCGAGUGCUUGCACUCAAUUGGAAAGAGGAGUGGCGGACGGGUGAGUAACACGUGUGUAACCUACCCAUCAGAGGGGGAUAACACUUGGAAACAGGUGCUAAUACCGCAUAACAGUUUAUGCCGCAUGGCAUCAGAGUGAAAGGCGCUUUCGGGCGUCGCUGAUGGAUGGACCCGCGGUGCAUUAGCUAGUUGGGGAGGUAACGGCUCACCAAGGCCACGAUGCAUAGCCGACCUGGGGGGGUGUUGCGCCACAGUGGGACUGAGACGCGGCCCUGAGUCCUACGGGAGGCCGCGGUAGGGAAUCUUCGGCGAUGGAGGAAAGUCUGACCGAGCAGCGCCGCGUGAGUGCAGAAGGUCUUCGGAUCGUAAAACUCUGUUGUUAGUGAAGAACAAGUACGUCAGUAACUGAGCGUUUCGUGACGGUACCUAAACAGAAAGCCCCGGCUAACUACGUG